This 253-nucleotide ribosomal RNA is filed under the name uncultured bacterium. RNAcentral describes it as "partial 16S ribosomal RNA". It matches the Rfam family "Bacterial small subunit ribosomal RNA", at positions 524 to 776 of the family's 1533-position model. The record is from RNAcentral.
UACAGAGGUCUCAAGCGUUGUUCGGAUUCAUUGGGCGUAAAGGGUGCGUAGGCGGCGCGGUAAGUCGGGUGUGAAAUCUCGGAGCUUAACUCCGAAACUGCAUUCGAUACUGCCGUGCUUGAGGACUGGAGAGGAGACUGGAAUUCUUGGUGUAGCGGUGAAAUGCGUAGAUAUCAAGAGGAACACCUGCGGCGAAGGCGGGUUGCUGGGCCGACACUGACGCUGAGGCGCGAAAGCUAGGGGAGCGAACGGG